RNAcentral lists this long non-coding RNA (265 nucleotides) under Sorghum bicolor (sorghum). Its description in RNAcentral is "long non-coding RNA (SBIC_LNC002338)". Lineage: Eukaryota; Viridiplantae; Streptophyta; Magnoliopsida; Poales; Poaceae. The record is from RNAcentral.
CCACACUUAAGAAAUAGUGCACGCCAUUAAUGAACUCUUCGGAGUGCCGAUCGGCAUUAUACAUCCAAUUACGUGUUACCAUCUGCAUUAAAUAUAACAUAUAUAUUAUGAAAUGCACACAUAUAGUUUCUCAUCUUAUUGCACAACAUGUCUAAGAUACAUAGUUGAUUAAUUUAGAAAAGCUUGGCUACAACAAAUACAAUCGCAACUAGCACUAAAAAAACCAAAACUAAAAUGCACUUAAGCAACAUAAUUAGUUCGCGUC